CGCACCUUGCGCCUUUUGGUAUUCCGAAAGGCAUGCCUGUUUGAGUGUCAUGAACUACUCACCCCGACGUUUUCUAAACGACGGGCGUGGAUUUGGGUGUCUGCCUUUGUUGGCUCACCUUAAAUGGAUUAGUGGAUGAGUCGGUCAUCUGGACGUGAUACGUUUCGUCUGUGAAGGCUGGUUGUUGUCUGCUCCUAACCCUGACUUUCGAGUCAACCCCAUUUGUUAUCAGACCUCAAAUCAGGUAGGACUACCCGCUGAACUUAA
RNAcentral lists this unclassified non-coding RNA (267 nucleotides) under Naematelia aurantialba. RNAcentral's name for it is "partial contains 5.8S ribosomal RNA, internal transcribed spacer 2, and large subunit ribosomal RNA". Lineage: Eukaryota; Fungi; Basidiomycota; Tremellomycetes; Tremellales; Naemateliaceae. The record is from RNAcentral.